This 415-nucleotide ribosomal RNA is filed under the name Cavitermes sp. ECU1. RNAcentral's name for it is "partial 12S ribosomal RNA". Lineage: Eukaryota; Metazoa; Arthropoda; Insecta; Blattodea; Termitidae. The record is from RNAcentral.
CCCUAUUAUUUUAGAAUGUUAAUUUUUUAUGUCUGAGUAGUAUUAGUUAUGUUCUUGAAACUUAAAGAAUUUGGCGGUAUCUCAUUCCUUCCAGAGGAAUCUGUCUCGUUAUCGAUAGUCCACGUUGGACCUUACUUAGUUGCUUUGGUUUGUAUACCGCCGUUUAUUGAUUAUCCUUUUAGGGUUGUUUUAAUUUUCUGGUUUCUUUAUUAUGAUUUAUUUCAGGUCAAGGUGCAGCUUGUUUCUAAGUGAAUGAUGGAUUACAUUGUUAUUUGUAUUUAUUGGAUUGUUGAUUUUUAUAUUGACAUGAAAUUGGAUUUGGCUGUAAUUGUUUGCAGACUGUUAUUGUGAUAUUGGUUCUGAGAUAUGUACACAUCGCCCGUCGCUCUCGUUUAGUUUAUUAAUGAGAUAAGUC